Molecule: long non-coding RNA, 646 nt
Filed under: Homo sapiens (human)
Lineage: Eukaryota; Metazoa; Chordata; Mammalia; Primates; Hominidae
Description: non-protein coding lnc-CPN2-4:37
Source: RNAcentral
GCCUAUGAUCUACAGUGCCCAUUCCAACUCAGAGAAUCUUUACAUCUGGAGAUCUAUAGCAGGGCUAUCCCUAGUGACAUGCGUGAAGAAGCUUGGAAAUGGUGCUGGGUAGGAGCUGAGUGUGCAGAAUGUGGAAAGGCAUUCUAAACCAAAGGAAGAACACGAGUAAAGAUGAUGAAGCAGGGAUAAGGCUAAAAUGAAAUUUGUGAUCUGAUCCACAUACAAGCACAGUGUAGUACAGCUGGAAUAUAGAGAAGAGCUUGAAGACUUAUGAGCAACUAUCCCGGUACUCUUGGAGGCUCUGCAACCACAGUUUGAGAAACUCCGCGUUCAAAGUUAAAAACUGUCACCUGAAUAGUUAAUAACAUCAAAGAUUGUGAAAGCAAGUAUAAAUAACACAGAGAUUAAAAUAAUGAGGCAGGAUCAGAAAGGAUUAUUUUCAGACCUCAUGAAGCUGCUGGCUUAUAGAACAGGAGUCUUUCUGUUGGCAGCCAGGAGAGAUACAAGAGGGGGAGGACAGAUUCUGCAGCUCCAUUUCGUCCUUGGAACAGGAGAAAGGGUUGGAAAACAAAGAUCACUUUUCUCUGGCCAAAUGGAAUCACCCAACAAAGUACCUUCCUGAUGGGCCAGCUAUUUCAGAUGAUGA